GAUGAACGCUGGCGGCGUGCCUAAUACAUGCAAGUAGAACGCUGAAGGAAGGAGCUUGCUCUUUCCGGAUGAGUUGCGAACGGGUGAGUAACGCGUAGGUAACCUGCCUGGUAGCGGGGGAUAACUAUUGGAAACGAUAGCUAAUACCGCAUAACAGUAGAUGUUGCAUGAUAUCUACUUAAAAGGUGCAAUUGCACCACUACCAGAUGGACCUGCGUUGUAUUAGCUAGUUGGUGAGGUAACGGCUCACCAAGGCGACGAUACAUAGCCGACCUGAGAGGGUGAUCGGCCACACUGGGACUGAGACACGGCCCAGACUCCUACGGGAGGCAGCAGGAGGGAAUCUUCGGCAAUGGACGGAAGUCUGACCGAGCAACGCCGCGUGAGUGAAGAAGGGUUUCGGAUCGUAAAGCUCUGUUGUAAGAGAAGAACGAGUGUGAGAGUGGAAAGUUCACACUGUGACGGUAUCUUACCAGAAAGGGACGGCUAACUACGUG
This 497-nucleotide ribosomal RNA is filed under the name uncultured bacterium. RNAcentral's name for it is "partial 16S ribosomal RNA". It matches the Rfam family "Bacterial small subunit ribosomal RNA", at positions 28 to 507 of the family's 1533-position model. The record is from RNAcentral.